RNAcentral lists this ribosomal RNA (253 nucleotides) under uncultured bacterium. RNAcentral's name for it is "partial 16S ribosomal RNA". It matches the Rfam family "Bacterial small subunit ribosomal RNA", at positions 524 to 776 of the family's 1533-position model. The record is from RNAcentral.
UACAGAGGGCUCAACCGUUGUUCGGAUUCAUUGGGCGUAAAGGGUGCGUAGGCGGUCGCGUAAGUCAGGUGUGAAAUCUCAGGGCUCAACCCUGAAACUGCACUUGAUACUGCGUGGCUCGGGUACUGGAGAGGAGACUGGAAUUUACGGUGUAGCAGUGAAAUGCGUAGAUAUCGUAAGGAAGACCAGUGGCGAAGGCGAGUCUCUGGACAGUUACCGACGCUGAGGCACGAAGGUCAGGGGAGCAAACGGG